RNAcentral lists this ribosomal RNA (304 nucleotides) under uncultured bacterium. RNAcentral's name for it is "bacterial SSU rRNA". It matches the Rfam family "Bacterial small subunit ribosomal RNA", at positions 30 to 322 of the family's 1533-position model. The record is from RNAcentral.
AUUGAACGCUGGCGGCAUGCUUAACGCAUGCAAGUCGAACGGUAACAGGCCCUUCGGGUGCUGACGAGUGGCGGACGGGUGAGUAAUGCUUAGGAAUCUGCCUGGUUGUGGGGAUAACCCGGGGAAACUCGGGCUAAUACCGCAUACGUCUCCCUGUCUUUGCGACAGGGAGGGAAAGCGGGGGACCGUUCGGCCUCGCGCUAUCAGAUGAGCCUAAGUCCGAUUAGCUAGUUGGAGGGUAACGGCCUACCAAGGCGACGAUCGGUAGCUGGUCUGAGAGGACGACCAGCCACACUGGGACUGA